RNAcentral lists this ribosomal RNA (253 nucleotides) under uncultured prokaryote. Its description in RNAcentral is "partial 16S ribosomal RNA". It matches the Rfam family "Bacterial small subunit ribosomal RNA", at positions 524 to 776 of the family's 1533-position model. The record is from RNAcentral.
UACGAAGGGGGCAAGCGUUGUUCGGAAUUACUGGGCGUAAAGGGCGCGUAGGCGGUGCGCUAAGUCAGAUGUGAAAGCCCUGGGCUCAACCCGGGAAUUGCAUUUGAUACUGGCGCGCUCGAAUCCAGGAGAGGUUGGUGGAAUUCCCAGUGUAGAGGUGAAAUUCGUAGAGAUUGGGAAGAACACCGGUGGCGAAGGCGGCCAACUGGACUGGUAUUGACGCUGAGGCGCGAAAGCGUGGGGAGCAAACAGG